RNAcentral lists this long non-coding RNA (203 nucleotides) under Gadus morhua (Atlantic cod). RNAcentral's name for it is "lncRNA (ENSGMOG00000025962.1)". The record is from RNAcentral. Lineage: Eukaryota; Metazoa; Chordata; Actinopteri; Gadiformes; Gadidae.
UUGCAUAAUCAUCCCUGCCUGGAGUCGACAGCCAGGAAAAGCUGACCACUUUUUGCUUUGUUGACAUAGCUCAUCGCAUUGCUCCAGGCCAGUGGACAGUCAAGUUUGGUAGAGACAUCAAGGGUUUUCAUCACCAAACCGCUGGAAAUAAUUGUGGUAUCUACAUACUUAUGGUAAAUUGCUUUAUAGUAUCUAGUAUCUAA